GAUGAGUGUCGGGAGAUCCCAGGGGUAUGUGAGAAUGGGAUUUGCAUAAACCUGGUUGGCAGUUUCCGAUGUGAAUGUGCGGGCGGCUUCUUUUACAACGACAAGUUAUUGAUCUGUGAAGAUAUUGAUGAAUGCCAGAAUGGACCAGUUUGUCAACAAAAUGCGGAUUGCGUGAACACACAAGGGAGCUACCGCUGUGAUUGUAAACCUGGUUAUCGAUUUACAUCUGUUGGACGAUGUGUUGAUCGCAAUGAGUGUCUAGAGAUUCCCAAUAUUUGUAGCCAUGGUGAUUGCUUAGACCGUGAAGGGGGUUAUUCAUGUCGUUGCCACACGGGAUUCAAAACCAAUGAAGAUGAAACGAUGUGUUUGGGUA
This is a non-coding RNA of Thamnophis sirtalis, 373 nucleotides long. The record is from RefSeq and is a predicted model, not a curated record. NCBI's taxonomy places the organism in Eukaryota, Metazoa, Chordata, Lepidosauria, Squamata, Natricidae.